GGAUUAGAUACCCUGGUAGUCCAUGCCCUAAACGAUGUCUACUAGUUGUCGGGUUUUAAUUAACUUGGUAACGCAGCUAACGCGUGAAGUAGACCGCCUGGGGAGUACGGUCGCAAGACUAAAACUCAAAUGAAUUGACGGGGGCCCGCACAAGCGGUGGAGCAUGUGGUUUAAUUCGAAGCAACGCGAAGAACCUUACCAAAUCUUGACAUCCUCUGACCCCUCUAGAGAUAGAGUUUUCCCCUUCGGGGGACAGAGUGACAGGUGGUGCAUGGUUGUCGUCAGCUCGUGUCGUGAGAUGUUGGGUUAAGUCCCGCAACGAGCGCAACCCUCGUUCUAUGUUGCCAGCACGUUAUGGUGGGGACUCAUAGGAGACUGCCGGGGUCAACUCGGAGGAAGGUGGGGAUGACGUCAAGUCAUCAUGCCCCUUAUGUCCAGGGCUUCACGCAUGCUACAAUGGCCGGUACAAAGGGCUGCGAUCCCGUAAGGGGGAGCGAAUCCCAAAAAGCCGGUCUCAGUUCGGAUUGGGGUCUGCAACUCGACCCCAUGAAUUCGGAGUCGCUAGUAAUCGCACAUCAGCAACGCUGCGGUGAAUACGUUCCCGGGCCUUGUACACACCGCCCGUCACGUCACGAAAGUCGGCAACACCCGAAGCCGGUGGCCCAACCCUUGUGGAGGGAGCCGUCGAAGGUGGGGCUGGCGAUUGGGACGAAGUCGAAACAAGG
This 725-nucleotide ribosomal RNA is filed under the name Aplanochytrium stocchinoi. Its description in RNAcentral is "partial Bacterial small subunit ribosomal RNA". It matches the Rfam family "Bacterial small subunit ribosomal RNA", at positions 775 to 1496 of the family's 1533-position model. The record is from RNAcentral. Lineage: Eukaryota; Bigyra; Thraustochytrida; Thraustochytriidae.